AGAGAGUGACGGGCGAUUUGUACAUAUUUUAGAAUCUUAAUUCAUUUUAUUUCUAUAAUCCUUAAAUAAAAUUACUUUUAAAUCCUUUUUAAUUAAUUUAAAAUUAAAUUAAAUUCAUCCAUAUUUUUUAUAGUAACCCAUAAUUACUUUAAUAAACUGCACCUUGACCUAACAUAAAAUUUAAUAAAAUUUAUAGAAAAUAUUUUUAAAUAUACUCAUGACAGCGGUAUACAAGUAAUAUAAAAUAAAGUAAAAUAUAGUUGUGGAAUAUCAAAUUAUAACACAGGUUCCUCUAAUAAGAUAAAAUACCGCCAAAUUUAUUAAGUUUAAUAUUUUUAAUAAAUACUACUUCAAUAAAAAUUUUAAAUUURUARUAACRGGGUAUCUAAUCCCG
RNAcentral lists this ribosomal RNA (394 nucleotides) under Paurocephala cf. insolita LSPauinsol. Its description in RNAcentral is "partial small subunit ribosomal RNA". The record is from RNAcentral. Lineage: Eukaryota; Metazoa; Arthropoda; Insecta; Hemiptera; Liviidae.